This 554-nucleotide ribosomal RNA is filed under the name Alpheopsis yaldwyni. RNAcentral's name for it is "partial small subunit ribosomal RNA". The stretch from base 188 to 554 matches the Rfam family "Microsporidia small subunit ribosomal RNA", at positions 752 to 1211 of the family's 1311-position model. The record is from RNAcentral. Lineage: Eukaryota; Metazoa; Arthropoda; Malacostraca; Decapoda; Alpheidae.
GGAUAGUGGAUUUGGGUUUAAAGUUUGUGGUGGGCAAGCUGGCUAGAGUCGGGGCCUGUUGGUGAAGAGGUGAAAUUUGUAAAUCGUGAGAGGUCUUGGUGUCUGGUUUUGCAGUCCUUAGCGAGGAAGUUUAAGGUAUAGAUGAGGAUUAGAUACCCUAGUAUACUUAGAUGAAAUUUGGGCUUUAGGGUAGUAAUUAGGUAUGAGCUUGAAAUCUAAAGGAUUUGGCGGUGUUUAAACCCAAUUAGAGGAACUUGAGGCGUGAACGAUAAACCUCGACUAUCUAUCUUUAUCUUGUAUUGUAACAGUUUGUAUACCGCCAUUAUUAGGUAAUUUCAGCAGAAAUUUAUCUUAAUUUAAUAGUGUGUCUAUUUACAGUAUAUUAGGUCAAGGUGCAGCUUAUGGUAAAGUGGUCCUUGAGUUACAUUGAAGUUAUUUAUACGGAUCGGGGCUGUAAGGAGUCUCGUGAAGGUGGAUUUAAUAGUAAUUUGUGGCAUUGAGCAGAUGUGAAGUUGGCUCUUAGACAUGUACACAUCGCCCGUCGCCCUUGCUUU